This 624-nucleotide ribosomal RNA is filed under the name uncultured fungus. Its description in RNAcentral is "eukaryotic LSU rRNA". It matches the Rfam family "Eukaryotic large subunit ribosomal RNA", at positions 24 to 664 of the family's 3401-position model. Lineage: Eukaryota; Fungi. The record is from RNAcentral.
CCCGCUGAACUUAAGCAUAUCAAUAAGCGCAGGAAAAGAAACCAACAGGGAUUGCCUCAGUAACGGCGAGUGAAGCGGCAACAGCUCAAAUUUGAAAUCUGGCCUCUCGGGGUCCGAGUUGUAAUUUGUAGAGGAUGUUUUGGGUACCGCCCCGGUUUAAAUUUCUUGGAACAGAAUGUCAAAGAGGGUGAGAAUCCCGUCUUGGACCGGCGGUAGGGCCUAUGUAAAACUCCUUCGACGAGUCGAGUUGUUUGGGAAUGCAGCUCAAAAUGGGUGGUAAAUUUCAUCUAAAGCUAAAUAUUGGCCAGAGACCGAUAGCGCACAAGUAGAGUGAUCGAAAGAUGAAAAGCACUUUGAAAAGAGAGUUAAACAGUAUGUGAAAUUGUUGAAAGGGAAGCGCUUGCAACCAGACUUGAGCGCGGCGGUUCCCCUAGCCUUUUGGCUAGGUUACUCCGCCGUGUCCAGGCCAACAUCGGUUCUGAGGGUCGGUCAAAGGCCUUGGGAAUGUAGCUUCUUUCGAGGAGUGUUAUAGCCCCUGGUGCAAUGCAAUCAGUCUGGACUGAGGACCGCGCUUCGGCUAGGAUGCUGGCGUAAUGGUUGUAAGCGACCCGUCUUGAAACACGG